RNAcentral lists this long non-coding RNA (1305 nucleotides) under Solanum tuberosum (potato). RNAcentral's name for it is "long non-coding RNA (STUB_LNC001186)". The record is from RNAcentral. Lineage: Eukaryota; Viridiplantae; Streptophyta; Magnoliopsida; Solanales; Solanaceae.
UUGAUUUUUUAAUAUUUCCACUCGUAGGUAAAUGGACAAACUUUUUUUUUUCCAAAGGAUAAAACUUACACACUUUUGAUCUAAAAAAGAAAAUUACUCAUUCAAGACUACCAAUCUUCCUAAUGCCUUGUUUGAGAGCAACAUUUGUAGUACUAUAUCCACCAUCAAUCAAUAUAUUCAUCCCACUUAUAUACUUUGAUUCAUCACUAGCAAGGUACAAUGCUGCUUGUGCAACAUCCUCACCCUCCAAAAUUGUCCCUUUCAAGUUUAAUUAUAUUUUAUCGAGUCUAAAUAUCUAAAGAAAAAUUGAAAAUUUAACUCUAAUUGAAAAGUUAAAGUUGGAUUGACUCUCGAAAAACAUAAUAUGAUAAUUAUAAAGGAACAGAGGGAGUAUACUAAAGUAUCACUUUUUCGAGAGUUUCAUAUUUGUUAUCAAUUGCUUGUGUUUCCUUAAGUUUGAAUUCAGUUGUACAUAUUAUAUGAUAAUUCUCGUGAGAUAUAUUCAAACUGAUUUGUAUUACUAUUAUAUGCAUGAUUUGCAUUAUGUCAUGCUCGUCCUCGACUCAUGCGUCUAUUUAUUUUAUUUUAUAUAACUCUAAGUGUUUACUUGUGAGCGUUCAAUGUUGAAGGACAUAAAUUAACAGCUAAAUUCAAAUUAAAAGACACGUUUAUGUAUCAUGCCGUUUCAAAAAUAGGACAUCUUUGAUAGGUUCACUUUUUUUCUAGAGUUUCAUAUCUAAUAUCAAUUAUUUGAUUUUCCUCAACUAUCAUAACAUUGGAUAUGAAGAAGAAAACACUUAAAUUUAUAUAAAAUUGAAUAAGUACACACAUACCUACGUCAUACAUAGUGUAAUAGUUGUGAUACUCUCAAUAAUAGAAAUAUCUUUGAUAGGUUCUAAAUUCUAAAAUACCCCUAUAAAUAAUGUUACUUUCUAAGUAACUCCAUUUUUUUCAAUUUGUCAACACUUUGAUUACAUUCAAAUAAAUCUAUUGUUCAAAGUUGAGGGAUAGUUUGAUUUUUUAAUAGUUCCACUCAUAGGUAAAUGGACAAACUUUUUUUUUCCAAAGGAUAAAACUCACACUUUUGAUCUAAAAAAGAAAAUUACUCAUUCAAGACUACCAAUCUUCCUAAUGCCUUGUUUGAGAGCAACAUUUGUAGUACUAUAUCCACCAUCAAUCAAUAUAUUCAUCCCACUUAUAUACUUUGAUUCAUCACUAGCAAGGUACAAUGCUGCUUGUGCAACAUCCUCACCCUCCAAAAUUGUCCCUUUCAAGUUUGAAAUUUGUGACACAAAUUCCUCAACC